CACUCCUGCGGGAGGCAGCAGUGGGGAAUUUUGGACCAUGGGCGAAAGCCUGAUCCAGCAAUGCCGCGUGAGUGAAGAAGGCCUUCGGGUUGUAAAGCUCUUUUGUCAGGGAAGAAACGGUGAGAGCUAAUAUCUCUUGCUAAUGACGGUACCUGAAGAAUAAGCACCGGCUAACUACGUGCCAGCAGCCGCGGUAAUACGUAGGGUGCAAGCGUUAAUCGGAAUUACUGGGCGUAAAGCGUGCGCAGGCGGUUUUGUAAGUCUGAUGUGAAAUCCCCGGGCUCAACCUGGGAAUUGCAUUGGAGACUGCAAGGCUAGAAUCUGGCAGAGGGGGGUAGAAUUCCACGUGUAGCAGUGAAAUGCGUAGAUAUGUGGAGGAACACCGAUGGCGAAGGCAGCCCCCUGGGUCAAGAUUGACGCUCAUGCACGAAAGCGUGGGGAGCAAACAGGAUUAGAUACCCUGGUAGUCCCAUGA
RNAcentral lists this ribosomal RNA (475 nucleotides) under uncultured organism. RNAcentral describes it as "partial 16S ribosomal RNA". It matches the Rfam family "Bacterial small subunit ribosomal RNA", at positions 334 to 800 of the family's 1533-position model. The record is from RNAcentral.